Molecule: transfer RNA, 74 nt
Filed under: Candidatus Rhodobacter oscarellae
Lineage: Bacteria; Pseudomonadati; Pseudomonadota; Alphaproteobacteria; Rhodobacterales
Description: Candidatus Rhodobacter lobularis tRNA
Rfam family: tRNA
About the family: Transfer RNA (tRNA) molecules are approximately 80 nucleotides in length. Their secondary structure includes four short double-helical elements and three loops (D, anti-codon, and T loops).
Source: Rfam by way of RNAcentral
GGCCCCGUAGCUCAGCUGGAUAGAGCGACCGCCUCCUAAGCGGUAGGUCGCAGGUUCGAAUCCUGCCGGGGUCG